Molecule: transfer RNA, 75 nt
Filed under: Candidatus Woesearchaeota archaeon
Lineage: Archaea; Nanobdellati; Candidatus Woesearchaeota
Description: tRNA-Val
Rfam family: tRNA
About the family: Transfer RNA (tRNA) molecules are approximately 80 nucleotides in length. Their secondary structure includes four short double-helical elements and three loops (D, anti-codon, and T loops).
Source: RNAcentral
GGGCCUGUAGUUUAGUCCGGCUAUAACGCCGCCCUUACAAGGCGGAGGUCACCGGUUCAAAUCCGGUCGGGCCCA